This 322-nucleotide long non-coding RNA is filed under the name Mytilus galloprovincialis (Mediterranean mussel). Lineage: Eukaryota; Metazoa; Mollusca; Bivalvia; Mytilida; Mytilidae. The record is from RNAcentral.
UGUAGACUGAGUAUUGCCAUAUCUAGGCGUUAUUUGGUUAUUUCUGUCAUUUGGUUGCUGUCUCAUUGCCGUUAACAUCAUCUUUUAUUAUAACUCAAUUAAAACACAUUUAUGUUAUGCUUGUGACGUGACGACUUUCAAAUUGAUGAAUGUUGCUCGAGUAAACGAUUGCCGAUUUAUCGAAUGAGCAAAAGAAUGGAGAGCUAUAUUUAUUUAACUGGCAAACUUUUAUAUCAAAGAUUCAAAUUACGAAAAGAAAAAAAAAAGACAAAAACCGACCUACAAUUAUUACAAGCGAAAUGUUAAAUGGUAUUAACACACA